This 1046-nucleotide unclassified non-coding RNA is filed under the name Hevea brasiliensis (rubber tree). Lineage: Eukaryota; Viridiplantae; Streptophyta; Magnoliopsida; Malpighiales; Euphorbiaceae. The record is from RNAcentral.
GGGGCAUCUCAUUAUCAACAAGAAAAUGCAUUCACUUUGAUAUAUUCAAGUCUCCAAGCCAAUCCAUAUACUGCUUUCGGUUACAGUAAAUGAACUAACUUAAUUAAAGAAGGCAUAUCCUACAACACAAUCUUAUUCAUCCCCCAACACUCAACUCAACAGAAUUAUAAAAUAUUAUGUAUGGCUAAAUGAACAUUUUGACCUUAGCUUGUGAUCUUUUUGCUCAAGCUUAGCUCCACAUCGUGGUAGGAUUUACCUUCUAUUUGUACAUUAGUAGUACUUUUGUAGCGAUACCGGCGAGCACAGAACAGAAAGUAUAUUAAGUUCACGCUACCCAUUCCUGCUAAGAGGAAGUAGAAAUAAUCCAAUUUUCCAGCAUUUAGAUCUUUAGUUAACCAGUCAGGGUGGUCUUUUGUUCUUGUAGCUUUGUGCACCACUGUGAUCACCAAGCUGCUAAGGUAGCUUGCACCCCCAAAUGAGCAAAAGAAAAGAGAAUUAGCCACACUUCUCAUGUGUUCAGGGAACUCCUUAUUGUAGAAUUCUAUUUGUCCGAUAAAAUUGAAUGCUUCACAUAACCCCAUUAUGACGAGCUGAGGAGCAAGCCACAGGACUGACAUGUGAGCACCAUCAGGAUGCGAAAUGGCUACAGCCCUUCUUUCCCUUUCAACCAAUCCAGAAACUACCAUGGCUAGAAUGGACAAUACAAUCCCAAUUCCAAUUCUUUGGAGAAGUGUGAUUCCGCCUUCAUGUUUGGUGAUUCUUCGAAGAGCUGGUACUAUCAUCCUGUCAUAGAAUGGAAGCCAUAUUCCUAUUGUUAUCAUUGAAAUAACACUAAUGGAACCUGCAGGAAUUUGAAACUUGGGUCCAAGGUGUCUGUCCAUUCUCAAGGCUUGUGAUACGGUAAAUGUUCCUUGCUGUGACAUGGAAGUGAGGCUAAUAAUACCAGAAGCCCAUAUUGGACUAAUUUUGAACAGACACUUCACCUCUUCUAUCUGUUGGAUACUGCAGAGCCUCCAUUGAUUUGCACAAGAACCAUCAGGAUUUAG